UACAGAGGUGGCAAGCGUUGUUCGGAAUUACUGGGCGUAAAGGGCGCGUAGGCGGCCAUCUAAGUCAGACGUGAAAUCCCCCGGCUUAACCUGGGAACUGCGUCUGAUACUGGACGGCUUGAGUAUGGGAGAGGGAUGUAGAAUUCCAGGUGUAGCGGUGAAAUGCGUAGAUAUCUGGAGGAAUACCGGUGGCGAAGGCGGCAUCCUGGACCAUUACUGACGCUGAGUGAGCGAAAGCCAGGGGAGCAAACGGG
Molecule: ribosomal RNA, 254 nt
Filed under: uncultured bacterium
Lineage: Bacteria
Description: partial 16S ribosomal RNA
Rfam family: Bacterial small subunit ribosomal RNA
Source: RNAcentral